GAACAUUCAGUUGGGAAAAUAAAUUGAAUAAAUGAAUGUAUUAAUGUUAUGAAAAAACGUUCUCAUAAUACAGACACCCCUUAAUACAUCCGUGGGAAGGAUGGUUUCCAUCUUGUAAUUCGGUAUCCAGCUGUUAUAAUAUAUUAAUGGGACGUAGAAGGGAUGAAUUUCGUUUAUUAUUAUAAUCGGUCCUAUUGGUGUUUGUGUCUGGUUCGGCACCAUGAAGAUAAACGAACACCAAUGGAGGGACACAAAGUUGUGUUGGUUCCUUACAAUGCAAACCACGUGACCAGGUAUCAUGAAUGGAUGAAGUGUCCUGAGCUGCAGCAUCCGACUGCCUCAGAGCCACUGACCCUGGAACAUGUCAUAGUGCACAUUCAUCGUCUUGGAUAAACAGCAAUAGGCAGAUCCCAGUAUAGAAGAGGAGCAGUGCACAGUGGGAGAUGUCAACAUGUUCCUGGCCGACCCAACAGACCUCUCCUCGGCUGAGCUGGAGAUCAUGAUAGCAGGUUGAUUCUCCAACUAAUGAUGAACACGGCACAAGACUGAAUUGCAGAAAAAUGGGCAGUAAUUCAAGAGGUGUGGAAAUGUUCAACUUCUACACAGUGAAUUUUAAGUUUCUGUCUUCCUGCUCGAAACCUUCUGAAAGAUGGGAUCAGAUGCUCACCGUAGUGCGAUUCCCAACAGUGUUAUUUGGCUCAUCAAUUAAACAUUUGAAAUGAGAUCACAUUUGCCUCCAGCCUACUGAACACCCACCAUUCAACAUCUUUUAAGCUAUGGGUUAUUUAGACUUGAUUGAAAAUGUCAGGCUAAGCAUAUAGCUAUAGCCUACUACAAUCAGACGUGCCAAAUAAAAAACAGU
Monopterus albus (swamp eel) is the source of this 862-nucleotide long non-coding RNA. RefSeq lists it as uncharacterized. Lineage: Eukaryota; Metazoa; Chordata; Actinopteri; Synbranchiformes; Synbranchidae. The transcript is spliced from 4 exons. The record is from RefSeq and is a predicted model, not a curated record.